This 274-nucleotide ribosomal RNA is filed under the name uncultured Bacteroidales bacterium. RNAcentral's name for it is "partial 16S ribosomal RNA". It matches the Rfam family "Bacterial small subunit ribosomal RNA", at positions 68 to 339 of the family's 1533-position model. Lineage: Bacteria; Pseudomonadati; Bacteroidota; Bacteroidia; Bacteroidales. The record is from RNAcentral.
ACAUCGAAAGCUUGCUUUUGAUGGGCGUCGACCGGCGCACGGGUGAGUAACGCGUAUCCAACCUGCCCACCACUUGGGGAUAACCGGGAGAAAUUCCGACUAAUACCCAAUGAUAUCUCUAGAAGACAUCUGAAAGAGAUUAAAGAUUUAUCGGUGAUGGAUGGGGAUGCGUCUGAUUAGCUUGUUGGCGGGGCAACGGCCCACCAAGCCUACGAUAUCUAGGGGUUCUGAGAGGAAGGUCCCCACAUUGGUACUGAGAUACGGCCCAGACUCC